This 84-nucleotide transfer RNA is filed under the name uncultured gamma proteobacterium HF0070_08D07. RNAcentral's name for it is "tRNA-Leu". It matches the Rfam family "tRNA". Rfam says of the family: Transfer RNA (tRNA) molecules are approximately 80 nucleotides in length. Their secondary structure includes four short double-helical elements and three loops (D, anti-codon, and T loops). Lineage: Bacteria; Pseudomonadati; Pseudomonadota; Gammaproteobacteria. The record is from RNAcentral.
GCCGAAGUGGUGAAAUUGGUAGACACGCUACCUUGAGGGGGUAGUGGGCGAAUGCCCGUGCGAGUUCGAGUCUCGCCUUCGGCA